This 253-nucleotide ribosomal RNA is filed under the name uncultured bacterium. RNAcentral's name for it is "partial 16S ribosomal RNA". It matches the Rfam family "Bacterial small subunit ribosomal RNA", at positions 524 to 776 of the family's 1533-position model. The record is from RNAcentral.
UACGUAGGGUGCGAGCGUUAAUCGGAAUUACUGGGCGUAAAGCGUGCGCAGGCGGUUUUUCAAGCCAGAUGUGAAAACCCCGGGCUCAACCUGGGAACUGCAUUUGGAACUGGAAGACUAGAGUGUGUCAGAGGGGGGUGGAAUUCCACGUGUAGCAGUGAAAUGCGUAGAUAUGUGGAGGAACAUCGAUGGCGAAGGCAGCCUCCUGGGAUAACACUGACGCUCAUGCACGAAAGCGUGGGGAGCAAACAGG